Molecule: ribosomal RNA, 497 nt
Filed under: uncultured bacterium
Lineage: Bacteria
Description: partial 16S ribosomal RNA
Rfam family: Bacterial small subunit ribosomal RNA
Source: RNAcentral
GACGAACGCUGGCGGCGUGCCUAAUACAUGCAAGUUGAGCGCUGAAGGUUGGUCCUUGUACCAACUGGAUGAGCAGCGGACGGGUGAGUAACGCGUGGGGAAUCUGCCUUUGAGCGGGGGACAACAUUUGGAAACGAAUGCUAAUACCGCAUAAAAACUUUAAACACAAGUUUUACGUUUGAAAGAUGCAAUUGCAUCACUCAAAGAUGAUCCCGCGUUGUGUUAGCUAGCUGGUGAGGUAAAGGCGCACCAAGGCGAGGAUACAUAGCCGACCUGAGAGGGUGAGCUGCCAAGCUGGGACUGGGGCACGGCCCAAAAUCCUACGGGAGGCAGCAGGAGGGGAUCCUCGGGGAAGGAAGAAAGGCGGACCGAGCAACGCCGCGGGAGUGAAGAAGGUUGUCGGAUCGUAAAACUCUGUUGGUAGAGAAGAACGUUGGUGAGAGUGGAAAGCUCAUCAAGUGACGGUAACUACCCAGAAAGGGACGGCUAACUACGUG